CAACGGGUGCGGAACACGUACAGAACCUACCUUUAUCUGGGGCAUAGCCCGGAGAAAUCCGGAUUAACUCCCCAUAACAUAAUUGAGUGGCAUCACUUGGUUAUUAAAAAUUUAUUGGAUAAAGAUGGCUGUGCGUCCCAUUAGCUAGUUGGUAGGGUAACGGCCUACCAAGGCGACGAUGGGUAGCUGGUGUGAGAGCACGACCAGCCACACGGGCACUGAGACACGGGCCCGACUCCUACGGGAGGCAGCAGUGAGGAAUAUUGGUCAAUGGACGCAAGUCUGAACCAGCCAUGCCGCGUGAAGGAUGAAGGCCUUCUGGGUUGUAAACUUCUUUUAUCUGGGAAGAAAAUUACGGUUUCUACUGUAACCGACGGUACCAGAGGAAUAAGCACCGGCUAACUCCGUGCCAGCAGCCGCGGUAAUACGGAGGGUGCAAGCGUUAUCCAGAUUUACUGGGUUUAAAGGGUGUGUAGGCGGGCUUUUAAGUCAGUGGUGAAAUCUCCGGGCUCAACCUGGAAACUGCCAUUGAUACUAUUAGUCUUGAAUUCUGUUGAGGUGGGCGGAAUAAGUCAUGUAGCGGUGAAAUGCAUAGAUAUGACUUAGAACACCAAUUGCGAAGGCAGCUCACUAAACGGAUAUUGACGCUGAGGCACGAAAGCGUGGGGAUCAAACAGGAUUAGAUACCCUGGUAGUCCACGCCCUAAACGAUGAUUACUCGACAUACGCGAUACACAGUGUGUGUCUGAGCGAAAGCAUUAAGUAAUCCACCUGGGAAGUACGACCGCAAGGUUGAAACUCAAAGGAAUUGACGGGGGUC
This 820-nucleotide ribosomal RNA is filed under the name uncultured Methylococcales bacterium. RNAcentral's name for it is "bacterial SSU rRNA". It matches the Rfam family "Bacterial small subunit ribosomal RNA", at positions 100 to 921 of the family's 1533-position model. The record is from RNAcentral. Lineage: Bacteria; Pseudomonadati; Pseudomonadota; Gammaproteobacteria; Methylococcales.